AACGAACGCUGGCGGCAGGCUUAACACAUGCAAGUCGAACGAGCUGGGGGCUUCGGUCCCCGGUGCUAGUGGCGCACGGGUAAGUAACACGUGGGAAUAUGCCCUUUAGUACGGAAUAACCAAGGGAAACUUUUGCUAAUACCUUAUACGCCCUUCGGGGGGAAGGUUUAUCGCUAAAGGUUUAGCCCGUGUCUGAUUAGGUAGUUGGUAAGGUUAUGGCUCAGCAAGUCGACGAUCAGUACCUGGUCUGAGAGGAUGACCAGCCACACUGGGAAUGAGACACGGCCCAGACUCCUACGGGAGGCAGCAGUGGGGAAUACUGGACAAUGGGGGCAACUCUGAUCCAGCCACGCCGGGUGAGUGAAGAAGGCCUUCGGGUUGUAAAGCUCUUUCGACGGGGACGAUGAUGACGGUACCCGUAUAAGAAGCCCCGGCAAACUUCGUG
RNAcentral lists this ribosomal RNA (445 nucleotides) under uncultured bacterium. RNAcentral describes it as "partial 16S ribosomal RNA". It matches the Rfam family "Bacterial small subunit ribosomal RNA", at positions 29 to 507 of the family's 1533-position model. The record is from RNAcentral.